GAGAGGAAACAAAAACAAUCGGCCGGGCGCCGCCAUCUUGGGUCCGUUCUCCACACCGCGCGAGUGAAUGGGUAGCGAUGAAAUUACCACAGCGGCGCAGCAAGACAGGGAGGGCCGUUCCGCGUUGCCAGCCGGAGCACAAUAAAGCCGGCCCUUUCCUCCUCCUCCUCGCCCCUUUCUGCUUCCUCCGGAGCGGCCCUGAGGGGGGAGAUCGGCUCGGCCCUUCCUUCGCGGCGAGGCUUCAACUUCGUCGCCGGGGGCGCAAAGUUGGGUCCAGCCGCCUCCCCGCCUGCCAGGAGCCCCGGGGGCCGGAGCCCGCAGCAGCCGCUCUCUCGCCGCCGGGGAAGAGGAGGUAGAAGGAGAAGAAGGCGCUCCUCACGCUCCUUUCGCUCGCCCCGCUCGCUGGCUCUCCUCGCCGGGGAGGCGUCGCGUGGGAGGCACGGAGAGAGGCGAGCGGGGAUUGACCAGGCUCCGUGCCCUCGCCCGCCUCGCUGCGGGUGUGAUUUCCGAGGGGGAGAGGAGGAGGAGAAGGGAGGAGAAGCAAAACAAAAGCCGAGUCGGAUCGUGCGCGGAGGGUCCUGCCUCUACGGCGACGGAGGGGGGGAGGAGGACAUUGCACGAGUCUGUGGGAAAUGGUGAGCCCUUGAAGAGUUGCAAGAGGAGAGGAAGAGGAGCGUGUUCUGAAGAGCAUUAACACUACAAGCCAAAGGAAGGGAAGGGAAUCUUCACACACACACACACACACACACCCCCCACCAGCCUGGCCUCUCAAGAAGACCGAGUUGCCCACCUCUGAUUGCCACGGUUGUAAACCACCGUUUCAUCUGCUUCGCCUCUUUGAUGCUUCAUGCACCGUUUAAAGGAAGGUUUUCUCGCAAGGCUUUCCAGAAGUUGUGCGUGGUGGGGUUUUGUUUAAAAGAACAGUGAAAAUAUAUAUAUAUAUUUGCAACAGUUGGAUGCAGCGUAACCCUUCCCACUGCUUCGUUGUGGUUUUAAUACCAAACAGGGGGUGUCUUGAACUAGAGACUUGAGGGGGGCCACGGAGGUUGCAGGGGGGGAUUCUCAAGAGUUUGAAAUUUUCCUUGGCUACACAGCGAGUGUCUGGAACGUGUGAUUUCUUCGCUCGAGGGGGGCAAAGCAAAGGAGAAGGGUGCAAAUGGAAAUGCGCGUCUUUCGUUGACUACAUAAGGAAGGAGCAGAGGUUGACCACAAUUUGUCGGACUGUGGAGAUUUGACAAGUUUUUUUUAUCUCUGUCCUCUUUUCCCGUGGGCUGCUCUCUGCAUUAUUAAUAGGAAACGUCAGUGUUUCACAUUCUGCUUGGUAUUUUUUUUUUAAUUAAUGGAUUAAUUUAUAUUACCCUUGUCAUUGAGGCUGUAGUGGGGUUGACACUUGAAACUGAGAUGGAACUAUUUCUCACCCAAACAUUACGUGCUGUAAAAGAUGUGUGAAGAUGAAAGUAUUGUUUACUAAUGUUUGUGCAUCUUGCCUGAUUCCCACAUCUAUGGCUGAUACCUUGCAGUUCUCAAAGUGAAGGGGUGGGAGAAAGUGCUCUUGAGUCGAUUAUUUGCCUAAGACUCGACUCUUUUACUGCUGACCUUUUAAACUGGGUACUUAACUGUGUUUUUAUGAAUUGAAUUUUGCCACCAUUUAUACAGAAGCCAAAUGACGUGUGUUUCCCCGAAUAUAUACGUCCCUUUAUUGCAAGGGUUAAAGAAAAGCUAAAUAGACUGCUAGAAGAGAAUCCACUUUUAUUCUUAUGUGCAAAUAUGUUGCUAUAGAAAAUAUCAAGGAGAAACGAGAAUUUUCAUCUUUGGAAGACCUAGGAUCCUGGAUAUAUAGAAUUCCUUUGUGUUGGUUCUGAUUGUUUGGAAAAUGGGAGCUGCUAGGAAGUUGGUGUUUGCUGUGUUUCUUAUCUCUUGUUCUUCAGGUGCCAUAUUAGGCAGAUCAGAGACGCAGGAGUGCAUUUUCUACAAUGGUAGC
Molecule: long non-coding RNA, 1981 nt
Organism: Heteronotia binoei (common prickly gecko)
Lineage: Eukaryota; Metazoa; Chordata; Lepidosauria; Squamata; Gekkonidae
Exons: 2
Source: RefSeq, a predicted model, not a curated record